AACGCACAUUGCGCCCCUCGGUAUUCCGGAGGGCACGCCUGUUCGAGCGUCAUUUUACACCUCGGGCCCGGCCCGGUUCUGGGAGCAGCCGCCCGUCCCAUUUGGCGGGCGCUCCUGUAACGCUUCGGCGACGCGGUCCGGACCCUUAGACGCGGCAAGUCCAAUCGUCUCGCGGGCUCCGGGCGCGUGUCUGCCGCCUAAAGGCGCCUGCGCGCCGUCUCGCAAGCCUUGACCUCGGAUCAGGCGGGGAUACCCGCUGAACUUAA
This 266-nucleotide unclassified non-coding RNA is filed under the name Protoparmeliopsis sp. Its description in RNAcentral is "partial contains 5.8S ribosomal RNA, internal transcribed spacer 2, and large subunit ribosomal RNA". Lineage: Eukaryota; Fungi; Ascomycota; Lecanoromycetes; Lecanorales; Lecanoraceae. The record is from RNAcentral. RNAcentral also lists the same sequence under 2 other names.